CAUUAAGAAGCUAUGCUACAGCACUAGCCUUUUAAGCUAGAAAAAGAGGUAAUUUUCCUCCUUAAUGA
Molecule: transfer RNA, 68 nt
Filed under: Nothocercus julius
Lineage: Eukaryota; Metazoa; Chordata; Aves; Tinamiformes; Tinamidae
Description: tRNA-Lys
Rfam family: tRNA
About the family: Transfer RNA (tRNA) molecules are approximately 80 nucleotides in length. Their secondary structure includes four short double-helical elements and three loops (D, anti-codon, and T loops).
Source: RNAcentral